This is a non-coding RNA of Neurospora sp. IMI 360204, 101 nucleotides long. The record is from the annotation of a GenBank genome assembly. Lineage: Eukaryota; Fungi; Ascomycota; Sordariomycetes; Sordariales; Sordariaceae.
UCGGGUAUGGUGUAGCGGUAACAUCGUUGACUCUCACUUCUUCUUCUUCUAAAGAGUGACUGCUUUCUCAACAGCCCCGGGUUCGACUCCCGGUAUCCGAG